RNAcentral lists this ribosomal RNA (478 nucleotides) under uncultured bacterium. Its description in RNAcentral is "bacterial SSU rRNA". It matches the Rfam family "Bacterial small subunit ribosomal RNA", at positions 33 to 507 of the family's 1533-position model. The record is from RNAcentral.
AGGACGACGCUGGCGGCGUGCCUAACACAUGCAAGUCGAGCGGGGUUGAGGCGAGAGGUAACUCGAGCUUCUACCUAGCGGCGGACGGGUGAGUAACGCGUGGGCAACCUGCCUCAAGGUUUGGGAUAACAGCCCGAAAGGGCUGCUAAUACCGGAUAUGCCUAUGGCCUCGCAUGGGGCUAUGAGCAAAGGGGAAACCCGCCUUGAGAUGGGCCCGCGUCCCAUCAGCUAGUUGGUGAGGUAACAGCUCACCAAGGCGACGACGGGUAGCCGGGCCUGAGAGGGUGACCGGGCCACACUGGGACUGAGACACGGCCCAGACUCCUACGGGGGGCAGCAGUGGGGGAUCUUGCACAAUGGGCGAAAGCCUGAUGCAGCGACGCCGCGUGAGCGAAGAAGGCCUUCGGGUUGUAAAGCUCUGUCUGGAGGGACGAACAAAAUGACGGUACCUCCGGAGGAAGCCACGGCUAACUACGUG